Loxodonta africana (African savanna elephant) is the source of this 10558-nucleotide long non-coding RNA. RefSeq lists it as uncharacterized. Lineage: Eukaryota; Metazoa; Chordata; Mammalia; Proboscidea; Elephantidae. The record is from RefSeq and is a predicted model, not a curated record. The transcript has 3 exons.
UUGCAUUGUGUGUAUGUACCAUAGUUUGUUGGUCCAUUCAUCUGUCGAUGGGCACUUAGGUUGUUUUCAUCUUUUUGCUUUUGUGAAUAAUACUGCAGUGAACAUGGGUAUGCAUAUGUCUGUUCAUGUGAUGGCUCUUUUUUCUCCAGUAUAUGUGCCUAGGAGUGCUAUUGCUGGAUAGUAUGGCAUGUCUAUUUCUAGCUUUCUACGGAAAAGCUGUAUUGUUUUCCAAAAUGAUUGUACGAUUUUACAUUCCCAUUAGCAGCACAUUCCCACUAGCGCCAAGCUCCCUACAACUUCACCAACAUUUGCCAUUUUUUGUCUUUUUGAUUCAUGCCAAUAAUGUUGGGGUGAGAUGGUAUCUCAUUGUAGUUUUGAUUUACAUUUCUCUAAUGGCUAGUGAUCGUGAGCAUUUCCUCAUGUGUGUGUUAGUCUCCUGGAUGUCUUCUUUGGUGAAGUGUCUGUUUAUACCCUUUGCCCAUUUUUAACUAGAUUAUUAUUUUUUUUGUGUGUGGAGGUGUUGGAUUUUCCUAUAGAUUUAGAGAUUAGACCUCUGUAGGAUUUGUCAUAGCCAAAAUGCUUUUCCCAGUCUGUAGGCUCUCUUUUUACUCUUUUGUUGAAGUGUUUAAUUUUUAGAAGAUCCCAGUUAUCUGGCUCAUCUUCUCGUGUUUCUGUACUGUUAGUUAUGGUUUGUAUCCUAUUUACACCAUGUAUUAGGGCCUCCCUAUAGGACAGAGUAGAACUGCCCCCAUAGGGUUUCCAAGGAGCUGCUGGUAGAUUCAAACAUCCGACCUUUUGGUUCGUAGUUGAGCACCUAACCAUGUUGCCACUAGGGCUCCAGGGUCUCUAGUGUUGACCCUAUCUUUCCUUCUAUGAUCUUUAUAUUUUUUGGUUUUAUAUUUAGGUCUUUGAUCCAUUUUGAAUUAGUUUUCGUGUGGUCUGAGGGAUGUGUCCUGUUUAAUUUUUUGCAGAUGUCCAUCCAGUUUCAUUCACAGCAUCAUUUGUUGAAAAGAUUGUCUUUUCCUCGUUUAAUGGAUCUUGGGCUUUUUUCAAAGAUCAGGUGGCAGUAGGUAGAUGGAUAUACAUCUGGGUCCUCGAUUCUGUUCCAUGGGUCAUUGUGUCUGUCAUUGUACCAGUACCAGGCUAUUUUGACUACCAUAACUAUAUAGCAGGUUCUUAGGUCAGGUAGUUCGAGGACUCCUACUUUGCAGUUCUUCCAUAAUGUUUUACUUAUCUCAGCCUUUUCCUUUCCAUAUUAAGUUAAUGAUUAGUUUUUCCAUCUGGUUAAAGAAUGCUGUUGGUAUUAGAAUCAGGAUUGCAUUGUAUUUGUAGACUGCUUUGGGUAGAACUUAUAUUUUCACAAAGUUGAGUCUGCCUAUCCAUGAGCAUGGUAUGAUUUUCCAUUUAUGUUGGUCUAGUUUGGUUUCUUGCAGUAAUGUUUUGUAGUUUUCUUUGUAUAGGUCUUUUACGUCCCUGCUUAGAUUUAUUCCUGAGGAUUUUAUUUUUUAAGGGGCUAAUGGUAUUGUUUUCCUGAUUUCCUUGUCAUAGUUCUCUUUAUUAGGGUAUAGGAAUCCAACUGAUUUUUACGUUUUUAUCUUGUAUCCUGCUACUCUGAUGAAUUUUCUAUUAGUUCCAGUAAUUUUCUUGUGGAGUCUUUUGGGUUCUCUAUGUAUAGUAUCAUAUCAUCUGUGAAUAGGGAUAGUUUUACUUCUUCAUCACCAAUUUGGAUGACCUUUACUUCUAUUUUUGCCUUAUUGCUCUAGCCAUGACUUCCAGCAGAAUGUUAACUAGGAGUGGUGAUAAAGGGUAACCUUGUCUUGUUCUCAUUCUCAAGGGGAAUGUUUUCAGCCUCUCUACAUUGAGAAUGACAUUGGCUGUUGGUUUUGUAUAGAUGCCCUUUAUUAUGUUGAGGAAUUUCCCUUCUAUUCCUAUUUUAUUGAAAGGUUUUACCAGGAAUGGGUGUUGGUCUUUCUCGAAUGUGUUUUCUGCAUUGAUUGACAUGAUUAUGAUCACAUGAUUCUUUUCUUUUAUUUAUGUGGUGGUUUACUUUGAUUGAUUUUCUAAUGUUGAAUCAUCCUUGCAUACCCGGUAUGAAUCUGUCUUGGUCAUGGUGUAAUAUUUUUUUGAUAUGGGCUGAAUUCUAAUGGCUAGAAUUUUGCUGAGAAUUUUUGCAUCUAUACUCAUGAGAGAUACUAGUCCGUAAUUUUCCUUUUUUUGUGGUGUUUUUGCCUGGUUUUGGUAUCAGGGUGACGCUGGCUUUAUAGAAUUUUUUGAAAAUAUCCCUUCCUUUUCUGUGUUCUGAAAUAGCUAGAGUAGUGCUGGUGCAAACUCUUUGAAUGUUUAGCAGAAUUGUGCCAGAGGGGCACAGUGAAGCCAUCUGGGCCAGGACUUUUUGUUUUUGUUCUUGGGAAUUUUUAUCAUUAUUAUCUUUUUGAUCUCUUUUUAUAGAGAUUUUCUACUUCAGUUUGUGUUAGUUUAGGUAGGUAGUAUAUUUCUAGAAAUUUGUACAUUUCCUUUAGGUUUUCAAAUUUGUUAGAGUACAGUAUUUCUUAGUACUCUGUUAUGAUCCUUUUUAUUUCAGUUGGAUCUGUUGUAAUGUCCCCCAUUUCAUUUCUUAUUUAGGUUACUUACUUCCUCUCCUGUUUUCGUUUAGUGAGUUUGGCCAGUGGUUUGUCAAUUUUGUUGAUCCUUUCAAAGAACCAACUUUUGGUUUUGUGAUUCUUUCUAUUGUUUUUCUGUUUUAUUUCUGCUCUGGUCUUUUUUAUUUCCUUUCUUUUGGUGUCUGUGGGCUUCUUUUUCUGUUAUGUCUAUAUGUUUGAGUUGUAUAGCUAAUGUUUUGUUUUUGUCCCUUUCUUCUUUUGUGAUGUGUGCAUCUAUUGCUAUAAAUUGACCUCUGAGCAUUAAGCACUGCCUUUGCUGUGUCCCAAAGUUUUUUGAUUCUAGAAAUUUUUAGAUUCCAUCUUUGAUUCUUCUAUUACACAGUGGUUUUUAAGAAAAGUGUUCUUCAAUUUCCAUGUAUUUGAUUUUUUCCUUGCUCUUCCUGUUAUUAAUUUCUACUUCUAUGGCAUUGUGAUCAGAGAAUAUGCUUUGUAUUAUCUCAUUGUUUUGGAUUUGCUGAGGGUUUCUUUAUGCCCCAAGAUGUGGUCUAUUUUGGGGAAUGUUCCAUGUGCAUUGGAAAAUAAUGUAUACUUUGGUGUUGUUGGUGGUCUAACACAUAUUUUGGGGGGGCACAAUUCAGCCUGUAACCGGGAUGUCUCCUUAUGCUAUUGCCAUUGUCACAAGAAAAGUCUUAAGCAAUUGGAGCCAGAUGACAUGGUGGUCCUCAUAGCUCUCUUUGGGGAAGGUGUGCAGCUGGAAGGAGGCUUUUGUGGAUUUAAGCAGUGAAAGGAGGAGGUCAUGAGCAAAGAAUUCUGGUUGAAUUCUGAUCCUGGGUGCUCACAGACUUCUUGUAGUGAAGAUUACUGCCCCUGGUGAAUUCUGCCUGGGGACCAAGUGGGAAACCCACUGUGAUUAAGGGCUAUGCACGUGUUAUAAGAAUUGAUUCAUCUUGGCUGUCUUUAGGGUAAUGAGAUUGAGUUAAAUGUCAUUAGAUGUUGGUACUGUUAUUAGAAAAAGUAAAUUAAAUGUUGGUACUGUUUUUAGAAAAAUGGCUAAUUCAUGCAAAGCCUUUCACUAAAACAUAAUGGCAGUAGUGAAAAUAGUAAAUGGAUAUUAAAGUUAGAGUAAAUCAGUAACCUUCGGUGAAUGUGAGACAAGCAACAGCAGCAGCAGUAGCAGCAGCAGCAGUGUGCAGAGCUAGGGAAACAACACGGGGAUGUGAAAUAUGGGACGAAUGUCUGUAAAGCACACGAAUCAGCCGGGCCACCCUUUCGCCUUCCUUCCCUGGAUGUGUUAAACUUUGCCAAUAGAGGUGUGAGUUCCUUCUACAUCGUGCCUCUUUCAAACAAAGAGCAGUAACCUUAGAUAACAGUAAUUCGUUCUUAUGGAAAGUUGCCUAUUUUUAUCUCUAAAGGUGGAGAACUACUCACACUGCAAGGUCUUCAUGAAAACUUCUGCUCCUUGUGGCAAUAUCACAUGCUCACCAUGGUCUUGAGGAGACACUGCUGCCAUCAGCUCCCUGGUGAGGGAACUGUAGUGGAGUAGGAGUACCCACCACUAACCUAUGGCUCAAUGGGACUGCUCUGAGCAACCCAGCAAGUUUCUUAGCAGUUCUAGGAGAAAAGUUGAGACUGAUGAAGGUCAGCUUUAUUUCUAACAAGAACUGGAUUAGAGGAUGUGCUCGUAAGUGCAGCGACAAUAUGCUUCCUGAUACUGAAUAUGUGGUGACAUAGGUUUGUCCAGUCUGUUGGGCAAAAGGCAGCUGUGUGCAGAGGAGGCCACCUUCUGAACCCAAACAAAUCCAUCAGGUUUUCAGGUCUUUGCUGUGGAGGACUCUAGUACCAUCUUGGCUCCACCCCUCACCCUCAUUCCUGAAGGAGAAUUUUCCUAGGUAUAGUAUUCUUGGUUAACAGUGUUCCCCUAUGCUUUUGCUGGAGGCUUCCUUUCCUGCUCUGUAGUGGGCUAGUUUCAUCUGAGUUCGUGUUCAGAGGAAGCACAGUCAUGCUUUCCUCUGCAUCAGGAGGAGGAGGGGCUGUCACUCCCUAGAUGGACCUCCGAGAGAUCUAUCUUGUUGAUUUCAGAGCCCCAGCAGACUCUAGCUUCCUUCUGCCAUCACUGGAGAACUGUCCAAUGUCUUGCCAUGUGCCAUGGCCCCAACCAAAGCGCUGAAGCACAUAGCCCUGUACCAGGACAUAUCUGUAAGCACCACAGAACCUUGAAAAAUAUCAGGACCCAACCCCAAGUGGCACCACAUCUUUCCACACGUCAGGGCCACGUCCGAAGUGGUGCACCAGCUUGCUGUGUGCCAGGGUCCUGCAUUUAUCUUCCUCUGGAAAGGUACCUCCCUUUAACACUAUGCAGCCCGCAGUGGGAAAGGUCCCAUGCCAAUGCCACAGGCACUUCAUGGGAGCUUGACCCAUUCUACUCAGUGAUGGCAGAAAGCCUCACCCAGACAACUGGUAGCUCUGAAAUCAUAGUCAAAUCUCCUGGGCAUAAUAUCAGGAGAGCCUCUACCCUUGACCUUUCCAGAGGAACACAAAUAAUCCUGGGACUCUCUAGGUAGAUGCCUGACCACAGUCCUGGGAUGAAAAGCAGACCAUGGUUCAUGAACAGUCAGCUGUAAUGCAGAGAGGACUGGAAUCACAUCUGGUCAUUCUUCCUUGGACCAAACAGGAAACCUGCCAAACCAGUCAGAGGCUCUGUCAUCUGAAACAAAUGUCCUGGUCAAAACAUAAGGAGAGAGUAAAGUCUAGGAAACACCUAAUAGUUGCCUGACAGCUCAUCUAGGCCACAACACAAGACAGAAUAUGUGAAUGGUCAGCGUGGAUACAGAAAGAUGAGGGUGACGUAGUGUGGGUCAAGACACCUAGACAUGCCAACCUGGAACAGUGUGGCCAGACAAGCAUGACUAGGAUAGAAGUUCCUGUGAACCCCAGGAGGAAGCAACAAGGAAGAAGUGCAAUCUAAAGAGAAAGGGAAGAAGCCACUCUCCUGACCUACCCCCCCAAAAAAGAUAGAUUGAUAAGCAUAUAAAUAGAUAGAUAAAUCUUAAUAUCCUGAAGACAAAAAACAAUCACCAAGCACACAAAGAGACAAGAAAAUAUAGCUUAUGCAAAUGACUAAAACAAAAGGAUAGAAAUUGUCCCUGAGGAAGGACACGUAAUAGAAUUACCCAACAAAGAUUUUGAAAUAUUAGUAUUACAUGUGCUCAAAUAGAUAAGGGGAAGUACAUAAAAAGAUCAAAAGAAAAUCAGGAAAACAAUACAGGAGCAAAACAAGAAUGUCAAUGCAGAGAAAGAAAUUUAAAAAAAUUAGAAAUACUAGAACUUAAAAAUAAAAAAAUAAUAGAUGUGAACAACACCAUGAAAAGGCUCAGAAGUAGAAUGGAAAUGACAUAAGAGAGGACCAGCAAACUUUAUUGUUUCUCAGUCUGAGAAACAGAAAAAGAAAAAUGAACAAAGCAUAAGAGACAUGUGGGACACCAUCAGUAGUAAUAACUUAUACAUUAUGGGAGUGCCAGAAGAAGAAGAGAGAGAGAAAGGUUCAGAAAGAUAUUUCUGAGAAAAACAAUGGCUGAAAACUUGACGGCAACAGGUUUGGGUUUGGUUUUUAUUAACCAACUGGACCUAACAGACAUAUAUAGAGCACUCCCCCCAACAGCAGCACAAUAUAUGUACUUCUCUAGGGUACAUGGAUCAUUGUCCACAACAGAUCACCUUUUAGGACACAAGACAAACCUCAAUAAAUAUAUAAAGAUUGAAAUCAUGCAAAACAUCUUUUCAGACCAUAAUGGAAUGAAGCUAGAAAUCAACAACAGGAAGAAAAAAAAAAAGGAGGGGGGACUAAUACAUGGAAAUGAAAUAGCACACUACUAAACAGCCAAUGGAAACCCUGGUGGUAUAGUGGUUAAGAGCUACAGCUGGUAACCAAAAGGUCGGCAGUUUGAAUGCACCGUGAAUAUAAAUGGAUUAACUGCUCUAGAUAAGAGUAGAACUGCCCCAUAGAGCUUCCAGGAGCUCCUUGAAAUUCUAUGGUUUAGUUCUACUCUGUCCUCUAAGGUCACUAUGAGUCAGAAUCAACUAGUGGGUCUUGGUUUUUGGUAAACAGCCAAUGGAUCAUAGAAGAAAUCAAGAAAGAAAUAAAAAAUACUUAGAAUCUAACAAGAAUGAAAACACAACAUACCAAAACCUAUGGGACUCAGUGACGGCAGUGCUCAGAGGGAAAUUCACAGCCCUGAAUGCCUACGUUAAAAAAGAAGAUCCCAUAUCAACUGCUUGACUCUACAACUUGUAGGAAAUAGAAAAGGAAGAACAAAAGAAGCCAAAGCUACCCAAAUAAAGGAAAUAAAUGUAAGAGUAGAAAUAAAUAAAAUAGAGAAUAGAAAAACAACAGAAAGAAUCAGUGUGACCAGAAGUUGGUUCUUUGACUGAAUUACCAGGCUGAGGGCUGUAGGGAACAUGGUCUGGAGAAACAUCUAGCUCAACUGGCAUAUCAUAGUUUAUGAAGGAAAUGUUCUACAUUGGUGAGUAGCGUCUGGGGUCUUAAAAGCUUGUGCACAGCCAUCUAAGAUUCUCCUCUUGUCUCACCACAUUUGGAGCAAGGGAAAGUGAAGAAAACCAAAGAUAUAAGGGAAAGAUUAGUCUAAAGGACUAAUGGACCAGAACUACCACAGCCUCCACCAGAUUGAGUCCAGCACAACUAGGUUGUGCCCAGUUACCACUACUGACUGCUCUAACAGGGAUCAUAAUAGAGGGUCCUGGACAGGGACGGAGAAAAUGUAGAACAAAAUUCUAACUCACCAAAAAAAAGGAAGAAGACCAGACUUACUGGUCUGACAGAAACUGGAGAAACCCUGAGAGUAUGGCCCCAGGACACUAUUUUAGCUCAGUAAUGAAGUCACUCCUGAGGUUCACCCUCCAGCUAAAGAUUAGACACGCCCAUAUAAACAAAACAAGAUUCAAUGGGCACACCAGCCCAGGGACAAGGAUGAGAAGGCAGGAGGGGACAGGAAAACUGGUAACUGGAACCCAAGGUCUAGAAAGGGAGAGCGUUGACAUGUCAUGGGAUUAGAAACCAAUGUCGCAAAAAAUAUGUGUAUUAAUCAUUUAAUGAGAAACUAGUUUGCUUUGUAAACCUUCAUCUAAAAUACAAUAAAAAAAAGUUUGUUCUUCAAAAAGAUCAAUAAAAUAGACAAACCACUGGCUACACUGUCAAAGGAAAAAAUGCACGGGGGCAAAUAGCCAAAAUAACAAAAUUGGAGAUAUUGCAACAGAUCCAAUUGAAAUAAAAAGGAUCAUAAGAGAAUACUGUGAAAGUUAUACUCCAACAAACUAGAAAACUUAGAUGAAACGAACAAAUUCUUAGAAACACAUAACCUACCUAAAAUAACACAAAAAAGGCAGAAAUCUCAACAGACCCAAAAUGAGAGAAGAGACUGAAUCAGUUGUGAAAAACCUUCCAACCAAAACAAAAGAGCUUGGGACCAGAGAGCUUCAUUGGGGAAUUCUACCAAACAUUCAGAGAAAAAUUGACACCAAUCUUACCCAAACUGUAACAGAAAUACCACAAGUGGAUUGUCUUAACAAACGGAAAUUUAUUCUCUUGCAGGUUAGGAGGCUAGAAGUCCGAAUUCAGGAUGCCAUAUCCAGGUGAAGUCUUUCUUUCUCUGUUGGCUCUAGGGGAAAGUCCUUGUCAUCAAUUUUCCCUGGUCUAGGAGCUUCUCAGAGCAGGAAAGCUGGGUUCAAAGGAUGCUCUCUGCCUCUGACUCUCCUUGCUUGGUGGUAAGGAGGUCUCUCUCCCCUCUGCUCACUUGUCUCUUCUAUAUCUCAAAAGAGAUUGAGUCAAGAUGCAAUCUAAUCUUGUAGAGUGUGUCCUGCCUCGUAAACAUAACUGCCUCUAAUCCUGCCUCCUUAACAUCAUGGAAGUUAGGAUUUAUAACACGUAGGAUAAUUCUAUCAGAUCACAAAAUGGUGGAAAAUCGCACAACACUGGGAAUGAUGGCCCAGCCAAGUUGGCACACAUUUUUGGGGGACACAAUUCAAUCCAUAACUUGAUUUCUUCUCUAACUCAUUCUGUGAACCCAGCAUUACCCUGAUACUAAAGCCAAAUGAAGACAUCACAAGAAAAUAAAACUAGAGACAAAUGUCCCUCGUGAAUAUGGAUGCAAAAAUUCUUAACAAAAUUUUAGCAAACAGGAUCCAACAACAUAUUAAGGAAAUUAUAAACUAUGACCAAGUGAGAUUUAUUUCAGGAAUGCAAUGAUGGUUCAAGAUUAGAAAACCAACCAAUGUAAUACAGCACACUAAUUAAACAAAAGAACCACAUAAUCAUCUGAAUAGAUGUAGAAAAGACUUUUGAUAAAAUUGAAUACCCUUUCCUCAUAAAAACUCUCAACAAUAUAGAAAUGGAGAAAAAAUUCUUUAACAUGAUAAAGGAAAUCUAUGAAAAACCAACUGCCAACAUUAUACUCAAUGGAGAAAGACUGAGAUCCUUUCUCUUGAGAAUGAGACGUGGAAGCCUACAAUCACCACUUCUAUUCGAUAUCAUUCUGGAAGUCCUAGACAGAGCAAUAAGGCAAGAAAAAGAAAUAAAAUAUAUCCAAAUUGGAAAGGAAGAAGUAAAAUUAUCUGUAUUUGCAGAUGACCUGAUCCUACAUAUAGAAAACCUCAAAAAACCCAAAAGAAAGUUUUUAGAAUAGGAGAACUCAGCAAGGUCGCAGGUUAUAAGAUCAACACACAAAAGUCAGUGGAAUUCCUACACACAAUGAGAAAUCUGAAAUCAAGAAAACAAUACCAUUUACAAUAAAAAACAACCCAAACCUGUUGCUGCGGAGUUGAUUCAGACUCAUAGAGACCCCAUAGGACAGAGUAGAGCUACCGCAUAGGGUUUUCAAAGAGUGGCUGGUGAAUUCAAACUGCUGACCUUUUGGUUAGCAGCCAAAUGCUUAGCCACUGCACCACCAUUUACAAUACAACCUAAAAAAAAUCAAAAUACCUGGGAAUAAAACUACCUAGAGAUGUAAAAGACAUAUCCAAUGAAAACUAUAAAAUACUGCUGCAAGAGAGUAAAAUAGACCAAAUAAAUGGAAGAAUAUUCCAUGUUCAUGGACUGAAAGACUUAAUAUGGCAAACACUGGAAUACUACCAAAAGUCAUCUAGAGAUUCAACAAUCCUGAUCAAAAUCCCAACAGUAUUAUUUACAGAAAUGGGAAAACUUAUCUUUAAUUUUAUAUGGAAAGUAAAGAGGCCCUGAAUAGGCAAAGACAUUUUAAAGAAGAACAAAGUGGAGGCCUUACACUUCCCUAUUUAAAGCCAUAGUAUACAGCUACAGUAAUCAAAACAGCCUGAUACUGGUUUAAUGAUAGACACAUAAACCGAUGGAAUAGAGUUGAGAGCCCGGAAAUAAAUCCAAACAUCUACGAACAACUGAUUUUCAACAAGGGCACUAAGUCCGUUCAAUGAGAAAAGAUCACUGUCUUCAAGAAACAGUGCUGGCAAAUUUUGAUUUCCACAUGCAGAAAAAUAAAGCAGAACACAUACCUCACACCAUACACAAAAACUAGUUCAAUAUGGCUCGAGGACCUAAAUGGUAAAAUUAAAACUCUAAAGUUCUUGGAAGAAAACAUAGGGGAAAAACUAUGGGAUCCAGUUCUCUUUAAAAAUAUACUAUCAAAUACAACAAUAAAUUCUUGAGCAACAGGAAACCAAAUAGAUAAUUGGGACCUCAUUAAAAUUAAAUUCUCGUGUUUACGAAAGGAGUCAAAAGACAACCUACAGACUGGGAAAAAAAGUCUUUGGGAACCAUAUAUUCAGUAAGGGUCCAGUAUUGAUAGAUAGAUGAUAGAUAGAUAGAUGAUAGAUAGAUAGAUAGAUAGAUAGAUAGAUAGAUAGAUAGAUAGAUAGAUAGAUAGAUAGAUAGAUAGAUAGAUAGAUAGAUAGAUGAUAGAUAGAUAGAUAGAUAG